This 432-nucleotide ribosomal RNA is filed under the name uncultured bacterium. Its description in RNAcentral is "partial 16S ribosomal RNA". It matches the Rfam family "Bacterial small subunit ribosomal RNA", at positions 29 to 506 of the family's 1533-position model. The record is from RNAcentral.
AACGAACGCUGGCAGCAUGCCUAACACAUGCAAGUCGAACGAGACCUUCGGGUCUAGUGGCGCACGGGUGCGUAACGCGUGGGAACCUGCCCUUAGGUUCGGAAUAACUCCCCGAAAGGGGUGCUAAUACCGGAUAAUGUCUUCGGACCAAAGAUUUAUCGCCUUUGGAUGGGCCCGCGUUGGAUUAGCUAGUUGGUAGGGUAAAAGCCUACCAAGGCGACGAUCCAUAGCUGGUCUGAGAGGAUGAUCAGCCACACUGGGACUGAGACACGGCCCAGACUCCUACGGGAGGCAGCAGGGCGGAAUAUUGGACAAUGGGCGAAAGCCUGAUCCAGCAAUGCCGCGUGAGUGAUGAAGGCCUUAGGGUUGUAAAGCUCUUUUACCCGGGAUGAUAAUGACAGUACCGGGAGAAUAAGCUCCGGCUAACUCCGU